UCCCUGGUGGUUCAGUAGCUAAGACUCCAUGCUCCCAAUGCAGGGGGCCCAGGUUCAAUUCCUGGUCAGGGAC
RNAcentral lists this transfer RNA (73 nucleotides) under Ovis aries (sheep). It matches the Rfam family "tRNA". Rfam says of the family: Transfer RNA (tRNA) molecules are approximately 80 nucleotides in length. Lineage: Eukaryota; Metazoa; Chordata; Mammalia; Artiodactyla; Bovidae. The record is from Rfam by way of RNAcentral.